AUUGAACGCUGGCGGCAGGCCUAACACAUGCAAGUCGAGCGGAUGAAGGGAGCUUGCUCCUGGAUUCAGCGGCGGACGGGUGAGUAAUGCCUAGGAAUCUGCCUGGUAGUGGGGGAUAACGUCCGGAAACGGGCGCUAAUACCGCAUACGUCCUGAGGGAGAAAGUGGGGGAUCUUCGGACCUCACGCUAUCAGAUGAGCCCAGGUCGGAUUAGCUAGUUGGUGGGGUAAAGGCCUACCAAGGCGACGAUCCGUAACUGGUCUGAGAGGAUGAUCAGUCACACUGGAACUGAGACACGGUCCAGACUCCUACGGGAGGCAGCAGUGGGGAAUAUUGGACCAAGGGCGAAAGCCUGAUCCAGCCAUGCCGCGUGUGUGAAGAAGGUCUUCGGAUUGUAAAGCACUUUAAGUUGGGAGGAAGGGCAGUAAGUUAAUACCUUGCUGUUUUGACGUUACCAACAGAAUAAGCACCGGCUAACUUCGUG
Molecule: ribosomal RNA, 484 nt
Filed under: uncultured bacterium
Lineage: Bacteria
Description: partial 16S ribosomal RNA
Rfam family: Bacterial small subunit ribosomal RNA
Source: RNAcentral